CUGCUGCCUCCCGUAGGAGUCUGGUCCGUGUCUCAGUACCAGUGUGGGGGGCCUUCCUCUCAGAACCCCUACGCAUCGUCGCCUCGGUGGGCCGUUACCCCGCCGACCUAGCUAAUGCGCCGCAUGCCCAUCCGUGGCCGGGAUUGCUCCCUUGGCGGCCUUGGGAUGCCCCAAGGCCGCGUUACGCGGUAUUAGACGGGGUUUCCCCCGCUUAUCCCCCUGCCACGGGCAGGUUGCCAUACGUGUUACUCACCCGUGCGCCGGUCGCCGGCAACGG
RNAcentral lists this ribosomal RNA (277 nucleotides) under uncultured bacterium. RNAcentral describes it as "partial 16S ribosomal RNA". The record is from RNAcentral.